This 449-nucleotide ribosomal RNA is filed under the name uncultured bacterium. Its description in RNAcentral is "partial 16S ribosomal RNA". It matches the Rfam family "Bacterial small subunit ribosomal RNA", at positions 354 to 796 of the family's 1533-position model. The record is from RNAcentral.
GUCGAGAAUCUUUCACAAUGGGGGCAACCCUGAUGGAGCGACGCCGCGUGGAGGAUAAGGUCUUCGGAUUGUAAACUCCUGUCAUGCGUGAACAAGGUUGCUUGGUUAAUACCUGGGCAAAUUGAUGGUAACGCAAGAGGAAGAGACGGCUAACUCUGUGCCAGCAGCCGCGGUAAUACAGAGGUCUCAAGCGUUGUUCGGAAUCACUUGGCGUAAAGGGUGCGUAGGUGGCGUGGUAAGUCAGAUGUGAAAGCCCGGGGCUCAACCUCGGAACUGCAUCCGAUACUGCCAUGCUAGAGUACUGGAGAGGUGACUAGAAUUCUCGGUGUAGCAGUGAAAUGCGUAGAUAUCGAGAGGAAUACCAAAGGCGUAGGCAGGUCACUGGACAGUUACUGACACUGAGGCACGAAGGCCAGGGGAGCGAACGGGAUUAGAAACCCCGGUAGUCC